GAUGAACGCUGGCGGCGUGCCUAAUACAUGCAAGUCGAGCGAACAGACGAGGAGCUUGCUCCUCUGACGUUAGCGGCGGACGGGUGAGUAACACGUGGAUAACCUACCUAUAAGACUGGGAUAACUUCGGGAAACCGGAGCUAAUACCGGAUAAUAUAUUGAACCGCAUGGUUCAAUAGUGAAAGACGGUUUUGCUGUCACUUAUAGAUGGAUCCGCGCCGCAUUAGCUAGUUGGUAAGGUAACGGCUUACCAAGGCAACGAUGCGUAGCCGACCUGAGAGGGUGAUCGGCCAAACUGGAAAGGAGACACGGUCCAGACUCCUACGGGAGGCAGCAGUAGGGAAUCUUCCGCAAUGGGCGAAAGCCGGACGGAGCAACGCCGCGUGAGUGAUGAAGGUCUUCGGAUCGUAAAACUCUGUUAUUAGGGAAGAACAAAUGUGUAAGUAACUAUGCACGUCUUGACGGUACCUAAUCAGAAAGCCACGGCUAACUACGUGC
RNAcentral lists this ribosomal RNA (498 nucleotides) under uncultured bacterium. Its description in RNAcentral is "partial 16S ribosomal RNA". It matches the Rfam family "Bacterial small subunit ribosomal RNA", at positions 28 to 508 of the family's 1533-position model. The record is from RNAcentral.